RNAcentral lists this ribosomal RNA (253 nucleotides) under uncultured bacterium. RNAcentral's name for it is "partial 16S ribosomal RNA". It matches the Rfam family "Bacterial small subunit ribosomal RNA", at positions 524 to 776 of the family's 1533-position model. The record is from RNAcentral.
UACAGAGGGGGCAAGCGUUGUUCGGAAUUACUGGGCGGAAAGGGCGCGUAGGCGGCCUGUUAAGUCGAACGUGAAAUCCCCGGGCUCAACCCGGGAACUGCGUCCGAUACUGGCAGGCUUGAAUCCGGGAGAGGGAUGCGGAAUUCCAGGUGUAGCGGUGAAAUUCGUAGAUAUCGGGAGGAACACCGGUGGCGAAGGCGGCGACCUGGGUAGAUACUGACGCUGAGGUGCGAAAGCGUGGGGAGCAAACAGG